AUAGCGUAUAUUAAAGUUGUUGCAGUUAAAAAGCUCGUAGUUGAAUUUUGGAUUCUUCCAAUUGGUCCAUCUUUUAGCUGAGUACUGGUUGUGUGGGGUCUAUCCGCCUGGUGAUACGUAAUGUCCUUUAUUGGAUGUUGCGGGUAGUCAGGACCUUUACCUUGAAAAAAUUAGAGUGUUUAAAGCAGGCUUAUGCCGGAAUACAUUAGCAUGGAAUAAUAGAAUAGGACGAAGUUGUUUUAUUUUGUUGGUUUCUAGGACAACCGUAAUGAUUAAUAGGGAUAGUUGGGGGCAUUAGUAUUCAAUUGUCAGAGGUGAAAUUCUUGGAUUUAUUGAAGACUAACUACUG
This 349-nucleotide ribosomal RNA is filed under the name uncultured eukaryote. RNAcentral describes it as "SSU rRNA". It matches the Rfam family "Eukaryotic small subunit ribosomal RNA", at positions 594 to 945 of the family's 1831-position model. The record is from RNAcentral.